RNAcentral lists this ribosomal RNA (396 nucleotides) under Wolbachia endosymbiont of Cimex hemipterus. Its description in RNAcentral is "bacterial SSU rRNA". It matches the Rfam family "Bacterial small subunit ribosomal RNA", at positions 1013 to 1407 of the family's 1533-position model. Lineage: Bacteria; Pseudomonadati; Pseudomonadota; Alphaproteobacteria; Rickettsiales; Anaplasmataceae. The record is from RNAcentral.
GGUCGGUUUGGCCGGAUUUCACACAGGUGUUGCAUGGCUGUCGUCAGCUCGUGUCGUGAGAUGUUGGGUUAAGUCCCGCAACGAGCGUAACCCUCAUCCUUAGUUACCAUCAGAUAAUGCUGGGGACUUUAAGGAAACUGCUAGUGAUAAACUGGAGGAAGGUGGGGAUGAUGUCAAGUCAUCAUGGCCCUUAUGGAGUGGGCUACACACGUGCUACAAUGGUGGCUACAAUGGGCUGCAAAGUCGCGAGGCUGAGCUAAUCUCUUAAAAGCCAUCUCAGUUCGGAUUGUACUCUGCAACUCGAGUGCAUGAAGUUGGAAUCGCUAGUAAUCGUGGAUCAGCAUGCCACGGUGAAUACGUUCUCGGGUCUUGUACACACUGCCCGUCACGCCAUGG